UGGUAGUNCACGCCGUAAACGCUGAGUGCUAGGUGUUAGGUCCUUUCCGGGACUUAGUGCCGACGCUAACGCAUUAAGCACUCCGCCUGGGGAGUACGACCGCAAGGUUGAAACUCAAAGGAAUUGACGGGGGCCCGCACAAGCGGUGGAGCAUGUGGUUUAAUUCGAAGCAACGCGAAGAACCUUACCAGGUCUUGACAUCCCGAUGCCCGCUCUAGAGAUAGAGUUUUACUUUUUGUACAUCGGAGACAGGUGGUGCAUGGUUGUCGUCAGCUCGUGUCGUGAGAUGUUGGGUUAAGUCCCGCAACGAGCGCAACCCUUAUUGUUAGUUGCCAUCAUUAAGUUGGGCACUCUAGCGAGACUGCCGGUAAUAAACCGGAGGAAGGUGGGGAUGACGUCAAAUCAUCAUGCCCCUUAUGACCUGGGCUACACACGUGCUACAAUGGUUGGUACAACGAGUCGCAAGCCGGUGACGGCAAGCUAAUCUCUGAAAGCCAAUCUCAGUUCGGAUUGUAGGCUGCAACUCGCCUACAUGAAGUCGGAAUCGCUAGUAAUCGCGGAUCAGCACGCCGCGGUGAAUACGUUCCCGGGCCUUGUACACACCGCCCGUCACACCACGAGAGUUUGUANCACCCAAAGUCGGU
This 644-nucleotide ribosomal RNA is filed under the name uncultured bacterium. RNAcentral's name for it is "bacterial SSU rRNA". It matches the Rfam family "Bacterial small subunit ribosomal RNA", at positions 788 to 1431 of the family's 1533-position model. The record is from RNAcentral.